GGGGAUGGCAGAAUUGGUCUAUUGCGACUGUCUUAAAAACGGUUUUACUUUAAAAGGUAACGACGGGUUCGAUUCCCUCUCCCUCCG
Molecule: transfer RNA, 87 nt
Filed under: Mucilaginibacter sp.
Lineage: Bacteria; Pseudomonadati; Bacteroidota; Sphingobacteriia; Sphingobacteriales; Sphingobacteriaceae
Description: tRNA-Leu
Rfam family: tRNA
About the family: Transfer RNA (tRNA) molecules are approximately 80 nucleotides in length. Their secondary structure includes four short double-helical elements and three loops (D, anti-codon, and T loops).
Source: RNAcentral